RNAcentral lists this long non-coding RNA (1102 nucleotides) under Neodiprion pinetum (white pine sawfly). RNAcentral describes it as "uncharacterized LOC124210803, transcript variant X4". Lineage: Eukaryota; Metazoa; Arthropoda; Insecta; Hymenoptera; Diprionidae. The record is from RNAcentral.
AUGAUCGUCGAAUCUAACCUUAGAACACGCAUCGAUCCAAGAAGUCGUUAUUCCCGCGGUAUUCAUUGAGUUACAGUAGUUAGAAAAUCGGUAUUAUUUCUCCGAGUGACGGGUACGCCGUUAAUAACCUGCGCAAAUAUGGCUUCACGAGAGUUAAACCUGGGUUAUCUAUGCUGCAAUUUAACUUUUCGCAGAUACUACAAUAUUUUUGUGGGCUACUCCAGCUUUUAACAACGGGUUAAUCCGAAAUCCAGUGAUCCUUUUUUUGUUACGUGAAGUCGAGCACACGCUAACUGUGGGUUAGGUUAACCUGGAGUAACUCUCACUCAUGAAUGACACCGGGCAUAGUAGUACAAAAUACCUGGUGAUGAUCAAAAUCGGUGAUUGUUGAUCAAAAAAAUGGCCUAUUUGAUGUGGAUACUAACAUACAUCGAUAUGGCCGGAGGCUGGUAAAGGUGAAAUAGCACGCCUCUUCGCGUCUAUCAUGGUCGGCUAGAGGCGUGAGUGUUGCAGUAGGAGUCGUGAAAGUAAGAUUGCAUUCGUCUACAAUGCAGCAUACGGAAGAACAUAAAGGCUAUAGGUGACAUAGACGCAUCAGCAUCGCAUCACGAAACCGGUCAUGAGGCAAAAAUAUAUUCAAAAACCUAUAAAGUAACCGAAUUUUCAUAUCUUGUAGACUCUUUCUCUAUUAACAAAAAUGACGCUGCGUCCAUAUUCAUUGUUACUUUAUCGAAUAAAAUUUCUAAAAUGAAAAGAAUAUUAAAUUUUCGCCAUAUUUGUUACAGGUACACAUGACAUAAAUCACCCCGAGCAUGUCUAUGUGGGUAUUGUGGUUUGGAAAUAUCUACAAAGUACAUAGAACUUUAGUGACGAUAUUCAAUGAAAACUACUUAUUCGUAUUAUAACAUAAUUAGAAUAAGGGUUUCUCAAAUUUUCAUGUCUGACCUACACCAGUAGUCACGGCAACCAGAAAUAUGAAGUAUUAAGAGGUGGACUACAAUCUUUCGACUGCCUUCACUUCAUUCAACAACGCAAUCCAUUCUGAUAUUCCCUUUAACACUGUAUCAGUACAUUACCUGCAAAUAUACUCACACUUAUAUUA